UUGGACCUACGGGGGGCAGCAGUAGGGAAUUUUCGUCAAUGGGCGCAAGCCUGAACGAGCAAUGCCGCAUGAGUGAGGAAGGUCUUCGGAUCGUAAAGCUCUGUUGCAGGUCAGAAAAGAAGGGAAGAGGAAAUGCUUUUCUUUUGAUAGUAACCUGCCAGAAAGUCACGGCUAACUACGUGCCAGCAGCCGCGGUAAUACGUAGGUGGCGAGCGUUAUCCGGAAUGAUUGGGCGUAAAGGGUGCGUAGGCGGCCUGCUAAGUCUGGAGUGAAAGGUACCGGCUCAACCGGUACAGGCUCUGGAA
This 305-nucleotide ribosomal RNA is filed under the name uncultured bacterium. RNAcentral's name for it is "bacterial SSU rRNA". It matches the Rfam family "Bacterial small subunit ribosomal RNA", at positions 331 to 631 of the family's 1533-position model. The record is from RNAcentral.